CCUACGGGAGGCAGCAGUGGGGAAUAUUGGACAAUGGGCGAAAGCCUGAUCCAGCAAUGCCGCGUGAGUGAUGAAGGCCUUCGGGUCGUAAAGCUCUUUUACCAGGGAUGAUAAUGACAGUACCUGGAGAAUAAGCUCCGGCUAACUCCGUGCCAGCAGCCGCGGUAAUACGGAGGGAGCUAGCGUUGUUCGGAAUUACUGGGCGUAAAGAGUACGUAGGCGGUUAUUCAAGUCAGAGGUGAAAGCCCGGGGCUCAACCCCGGAACUGCCUUUGAAACUAGAUAACUAGAGUCUUGGAGAGGUUAGUGGAAUUCCGAGUGUAGAGGUGAAAUUCGUAGAUAUUCGGAAGAACACCAGUGGCGAAGGCGACUAACUGGACAAGUACUGACGCUGAGGUACGAAAGCGUGGGGAGCAAACAGGAUUAGAUACCCUGGUAGUCCACGCCGUAAACGAUGAUAACUAGUUGUUCGGUCACUUGGUGACUGAGUGACGCAGCUAACGCAUUAAGUUAUCCGCCUGGGGAGUACGGUCGCAAGAUUAAAACUCAAAUNAUAGAGCGNGAGACNGCGAGCGACGACGAGGAGAG
This 587-nucleotide ribosomal RNA is filed under the name uncultured bacterium. Its description in RNAcentral is "bacterial SSU rRNA". It matches the Rfam family "Bacterial small subunit ribosomal RNA", at positions 338 to 944 of the family's 1533-position model. The record is from RNAcentral.